RNAcentral lists this ribosomal RNA (439 nucleotides) under uncultured Glomus. RNAcentral's name for it is "SSU rRNA". It matches the Rfam family "Eukaryotic small subunit ribosomal RNA", at positions 638 to 1078 of the family's 1831-position model. The record is from RNAcentral. Lineage: Eukaryota; Fungi; Glomeromycota; Glomeromycetes; Glomerales; Glomeraceae.
AUUUCGGGGUUAGUAGGUUGGUCAUGCCUCUGGUAUGUACUGGUCUCACUGAUUCCUCCUUCCUGAUGAGCCGUAAUGCCAUUAAUUUGGUGUUGCGGGGAAUUUGGACUGUUACUUUGAAAAAAUUAGAGUGUUUAAAGCAAGCUAACGCUUGAAUACAUUAGCAUGGAAUAAUGAAAUAGGACGUUCGAUCCUAUUUUGUUGGUUUCUAGGAUUGACGUAAUGAUUAAUAGGGAUAGUUGGGGGCAUUAGUAUUCAAUUGUCAGAGGUGAAAUUCUUGGAUUUAUUGAAGACUAACUACUGCGAAAGCAUUUGCCAAGGAUGUUUUCAUUAAUCAAGAACGAAAGUUAGGGGAUCGAAGACGAUCAGAUACCGUCGUAGUCUUAACCAUAAACUAUGCCGACUAGGGAUCGGAUGAUGUUCAUUUUUUAAUGACUCA